GUAGGUGGCAAGCGUUGUCCGGAUUUACUGGGCGUAAAGCGCGCGCAGGCGGGCUCGCUAAGUCUAGGGGUGAAAUCUCCCGGGCUCAACCGGGAGGGGUCUCUAGAAACUGACGAGCUUGAGGGGAGCAGAGGAGAGUGGAAUUCCAGGUGUAGCGGUGAUAUGCGUAGAUAUCUGGAGGAACACCAGUGGCGAAGGCGGCUCUCUGGGCUCUGCCUGACGCUGAGGCGCGAAAGCGUGGGGAGCGAACCGGAUUAGAUACCCGGGUAGUCCACGCCGUAAACGUUGGGCACUAGGUGUGGGAGGUAUUGACCCCUUCCGUGCCGCAGCUAACGCGAUAAGUGCCCCGCCUGGGGAGUACGGCCGCAAGGCUA
This 374-nucleotide ribosomal RNA is filed under the name uncultured organism. RNAcentral describes it as "partial 16S ribosomal RNA". It matches the Rfam family "Bacterial small subunit ribosomal RNA", at positions 527 to 896 of the family's 1533-position model. The record is from RNAcentral.